GGUCUCAGGGCCCGCCCUGCUGAGUAGGGCGCCCGCGAGUGUGCCUGUCCCGUGGUGGUUGUGAGGUCGGAGACGGGGUUGCGCGGAAGGAAAGCGGGACGCGAGGGAUGGGUGUGGCUCCGGGCCGGAGCUCGCGGAGAGCGGCGGGGCCCACAGGAGGAGAGCCAUCUUCCGUGAACAUUCUCACAGACUUCUCAUUGUGUGCCCUCAUCCCCUGCUGGGAGGCACAACCAGCAUCACCACCCGCUUGUCUACACAGAAGCAUUGAGCUGCAGAGAGCUUAACCUGGCCCACGAUGACUGAAGACAGAGGAGGACCAGACUACAGUCACAUGCCACCCUCCAGGCAGCUGCUGGAUCAUCGUCCUGCCUUAUUGACUCGAAGAGCUUGUCACAGAUAAACAGGUCACCUCUGGAUCAGGUCUGCUUUAAACAAUAGCUUUCAUCAGCCCCCUCCUAAGCCUGAGAGACAUGGCCUGGCCACCUCUGGUUUUGCUCUGACCCAUCGGAUUGAAGCUGAGCAGACGUCGAGGUUUGACAGAUCCUACUUCGGGGGCUGCAGUGAGCUCAGAAAAGCAUGCAUCCUCUCUCCAACCUAGGACCACCAGGUGAAGGGGAUGUUGCCCCGGGUGCUAUGGAGGUGGGAUGAAGUCUCCAAGGAAGCUGUCUUCUCUGGAGAGUCUUCCCCAGAUUGUCUCAGGUAGCCAUAACAGCCAGAAGCAAGGCAGAGAGAAGGGAGCUGUCUAAGGAAAUCCAGUGUAUUGUAAACAGGAUAAAAGGCAUUGGGAAGCCCCACUUACCACAAGCUAAUGUGUCCCCAGGUCAUCAGAGAGAGAGAGAGAGAGGUGGAUGGCCUACCAGGAGCCCUGAGUGAGGGAGAGAAAAUUCCUGAUGAACCUGCUCACCUGUGUACAGGGCCAGGGCAAAGGUCUUGCUCUUUAUUUUGCUAAAUGAUUCCCAUGGCCCUUUGGCAUUCAGAGGGACCACAGUUUCUAGGAAGAGUCCUCUGUUGACUAGAGAAAUGGCCUCUGGUGUCUCCUGGAUCAGGUAGCUGCCUAUAUGGCACUCUUGGGAGGAAUGCAAGUCUGAGGGAAGAAGAUUUGACUUAGACUCAGGAGAGUGAAUGAAAACUGCCAAUCAGAGGGCUUAGGAAUAAUGACUUGGGCCUGGGGAGUGGGGCUUAAUGAUAGAAUAUUAGCUUGCACAUGGCACUGAGGCUGAUCUCCAGCACUGGGAGGGAAAGUGCCAUCAGUGCAUUCCAAAUCCUUAUUGUUAGUGUAUGUAUCUCGAGGAAGAAGGCAAACAGGUUCAGAGGGACUGAGCAAGGUGUCCAAAAUUGUUGAUCUCGUGGCCUAAGGAAUAUUGCCAAAUAGUCCAGCUAAUGGCCACAGGUGGCUGCCGAGCACCUAACCCGUGACUGGCACAAGUCACAAACUGAGUGUGUUUUCCUCCUUCCUCCUCUCCCCACCUCCAGGAAUCAAUGUUAACCCCAAAGCCUUCCUCAUUACAGGGAGCAGAGGCUCUACUGCGGAGCUCCACCGCAGCCCUUGCUUUCUCUCAUUUUCUUCUCUUUCUUUUUUAGAAAUUUAAGCAUACAGCCCACAUUUGCAGCUCCUCCAGCUUCUGUCAGUCAGUGCUGGCCUGGGGCACAUUUUGUUUUUCUUUCUUAAGAUUUAUUUAUUUUUAUUUUAUGUAUAUGUGUGUUUUGCCUGCAUGUAUGUCUGUGCACCAUGUGCAUGCCUGGUGCCCACUGAAGCCAGAAGAGGGCAUUAGGUCCCCUGGACCUAAAGUUACUGGUGAUUGGCAGCCACCAUGCCGGCACUGAGAACAGAACCCUGGUCUUCGGCAUGAACAGCAUUUUCUCUUAAAAUGCCCAGCCAACUCCCCAGCCCCACCUUUGGCUCCUUGAAGGCAUAAUGCUAUCUGUCUUCCUCCUCUCCUGCUCCCUCCUCCCCGGACUCACUGAGUCACAGGCUGCCCUCAGAUCUUCAGACCCUGCAAUCUCUGCAGUAGGCUCCUCUGAGAUCAGGGUGGGGUGGGUGGACAAUCACAAAAGGUUUCCUGUUGAACAUGAAUAAGGCUUCAGGACAAGAUCCAGUGGAGGACACCCAAGAUCAUAAAAGUUGUGCUUGGUUUCCAUUGGGGUGACACAAGUGGCAUGGGCGUAGGAACCUCUCUUCCCUCUCCCCGAUGCUUUUCUUCUUAGGUUUCAAAAUGGCGUUUUCAGUGACUUUUGCUGCAGAGCUUCAGAGCUAAACUAGCAGUUCCAGGGUGCGCUAACACCCCUACUUCUGGAGCAACCCCCUUUCAACAUCCACAGAGACAGCUUGUGACCCCCCUCCCCAAAACCCAACCCCAAAUAAGGCAACCACAAGCCCUGGUUGAGAAGGAGGAGUCUUCUUUCUCCCUUGCCCCAUGCCCAGCUGCCCCUCCAGGAGACAAGCUCCAGUAAUGGCCAUAAUCUUGCAGCUUUGAAGGAUGUACCCAGGACCCCUAAGGCAUGAGGCCCAAAAGAAGCCCUCUGAGGAGAGGGCCAGACAGCAGCCAUCCCUCAGAGGCCUCCUUCUCGAUGCAGGCCAUGGGGCCAACAUGUCCCAACACUGCCAGGCUUCCUUGCACAAGUCAGACCUCACAGAGUGAGGGGGACAUACGAGGAGGGCGACACGAAGCUCGACAGGAGGAUUGGGACUCAUCCAUCAUGAACCGUCAAACAGCAGGGCCAUAGCCUGCCUGAACGCUUGCCUAGUUAAAGGAACUUCUGCGGCUCACCUACCCCCAGCACCUCAGCCUCCCAGAAUCAAGCACAUUCCACUAAGGGGGGAUUAGAGGGUCAGCAACCCAGACUGGCCCCCAGCCUGCUCUCCCACAGUGCUAGGACUGAACAUCCUAUACCCCCACCCUUAAAUGGAGCUGUAGUUAAGAAGCCCAAGGCAAAAUAGAAAUUGAUGGGGCCUUUCUGUCUGUUCCCUGUUUUAAAUAGCAUACUUUGAAAGGUAAUCUUUAUUACCAUUGUUGUUGUUAAAAUCAGGAAAGCUGAGUUCUGCUGAGGGUCUCCAAACCUUGUUUAUGCCAAGGGCUGGGGCUGGAGGACAGGAAGAUUAUCUUACAUAGGAAUAGACAACAGAGGAUCCGCUGGGGUGUCUGUCCUUCCCUCCCAGUCCAGCACCUGGACCUGCUGGGCCUCCUGUUGUGGGCAGCCAGUCACAGAUGCAUGGAUCCAGGCCUGUUUUAUAUGCCAUUCCCCCUGCCCUGACUUCAGUUACACAUGUACAGACACGGCCACAAAAUAGUAAAUGGAAGAUUCAAAAGAUAAUAAAAAAAAAAAAAAAAA
This 3330-nucleotide long non-coding RNA is filed under the name Mus musculus (house mouse). Its description in RNAcentral is "RIKEN cDNA C130046K22 gene, transcript variant 3 (C130046K22Rik)". The record is from RNAcentral. Lineage: Eukaryota; Metazoa; Chordata; Mammalia; Rodentia; Muridae.